Molecule: ribosomal RNA, 685 nt
Filed under: uncultured Staphylococcus sp.
Lineage: Bacteria; Bacillati; Bacillota; Bacilli; Caryophanales; Staphylococcaceae
Description: bacterial SSU rRNA
Rfam family: Bacterial small subunit ribosomal RNA
Source: RNAcentral
GUCGAGCGAACAGACGAGGAGCUUGCUUCUCUGACGUUAGCGGCGGACGGGUGAGUAACACGUGGAUAACCUACCUAUAAGACUGGGAUAACUUCGGGAAACCGGAGCUAAUACCGGAUAAUAUAUUGAACCGCAUGGUUCAAUAGUGAAAGACGGUUUUGCUGUCACUUAUAGAUGGAUCCGCGCCGCAUUAGCUAGUUGGUAAGGUAACGGCUUACCAAGGCAACGAUGCGUAGCCGACCUGAGAGGGUGAUCGGCCACACUGGAACUGAGACACGGUCCAGACUCCUACGGGAGGCAGCAGUAGGGAAUCUUCCGCAAUGGGCGAAAGCCUGACGGAGCAACGCCGCGUGAGUGAUGAAGGUCUUCGGAUCGUAAAACUCUGUUAUUAGGGAAGAACAAAUGUGUAAGUAACUAUGCACGUCUUGACGGUACCUAAUCAGAAAGCCACGGCUAACUACGUGCCAGCAGCCGCGGUAAUACGUAGGUGGCAAGCGUUAUCCGGAAUUAUUGGGCGUAAAGCGCGCGUAGGCGGUUUUUUAAGUCUGAUGUGAAAGCCCACGGCUCAACCGUGGAGGGUCAUUGGAAACUGGAAAACUUGAGUGCAGAAGAGGAAAGUGGAAUUCCAUGUGUAGCGGUGAAAUGCGCAGAGAUAUGGAGGAACACCAGUGGCGAAGGCGACUUU